Molecule: ribosomal RNA, 448 nt
Filed under: uncultured bacterium
Lineage: Bacteria
Description: bacterial SSU rRNA
Rfam family: Bacterial small subunit ribosomal RNA
Source: RNAcentral
UCCAGACUCCUACGGGAGGCAGCAGUGGGGAAUAUUGCGCAAUGGGGGCAACCCUGACGCAGCAACGCCGCGUGCAGGAAGAAGGUCUUCGGAUUGUAAACUGUUGUCGCAAGGGAAGAAGACAGUGACGGUACCUUGUGAGAAAGUCACAGCUAACUACGUGCCAGCAGCCGCGGUAAUACGUAGGGGGCAAGCGUUAUCCGGAUUUACUGGGUGUAAAGGGGGCGCAGACGGCGAUGCAAGCCAGGAGUGAAAGCCCGGGGCCCAACCCCGGGACUGCUCUUGGAACUGCGUGGCUGGAGUGCAGGAGGGGCAGGCGGAAUUCCUGGUGUAGCGGUGAAAUGCGUAGAUAUCAGGAGGAACACCGGUGGCGAAGGCGGCCCGCUGGACUGCAACUGACGUUGAGGCCCGAAAGCGUGGGGAGCAAACAGGAUUAGAUACCCUAGUA